AAAAAGAGGCCCACCGCUCGUUUGCUUCAUCCGAAGAAAGAGGGAGGAAUUUGCCUCGAGCCCCACCCAAAAAUUCAUCCGAGCUACACGCAACCUCCUCUCUUGACGCCGCCGCCUCCUCUUCACUCCGUCAAUUCUCCUCGCGCCGCCACCUCCAUUCUUCAUCUGCCUCCGGGCCUACUCCUAUCCCAUCAUCUUCCUUGUGUCGCCGGCCUCUUCCCCUGUCUCUCCUCGUCGGUCGUCGCUUCAAGUUGUGGAUCUCCUUGCAGCGGUUGCAAUGGUUGGACAAGACGAAGAGGAGCUGUAGCGUCGGGUCUAUACAGCAGCCGGCUGCUCGACACGUCGCGCAAUCACUACACUGUAAGACCCCUCAACACACACACCCACAUGACCGCACCCCACGGUCCUCAUCGACCACGUCGGGAUGUAUUUUGUGAUGCCAUUGUCCAUCCGUUAAGCUAGCAUGUUCUUCUCCUUUCCAUAUGUAUUGUUGUUGUUCUUACUGCUCAUAUAUGUUUUUUAGCAGGUUGUUGUUAGCUGGGUUCCAGGUUGUUGAAAUUUGGAGGUGGGCCUUAGGCCCACUAGAGAAUUUCAGAAAAUCUACAAGGGCCCAUGUAGGUGGUGGCAUGGCAAGGUGGUGGGAGUUUAGUCCCACCCCGCUAGUGGAGGAGAGUUUGGACCCCUUUAUAAGGGUCUCUCUUCCACAUGCUAUUGGAGAGUGAGAAGAGAAGGUGCCCUCGCGCACUCCUCCGUCGCCCGCCGCGGGUUGCGGGUUGCGGGAAUGAGCCGAGCCGAGCUCAUACCUACGCGCUUAUUUUUGCCGGUCAGGAACGGAGAAUACGUAACGGACAAGGCACGAUCCGAGACGUCGGAUCGUGAUCGUUACCCAUGCGAUCGCCUACCCUAGCCGUCACGAAAUCAGAUCACAUCUGCCUCACGCGUUCGUUCCUUGAACUGCUGCUGCCGCCGGCGACUCCGUCCCGUUUACCGCAUACACGGUCGACGGGAGAGCAGGCCUCCGAAACCUCGCCUCUCCGGUUCCUGUACGGGAGAGGGGCGAUUAGGUUUUUGGGGAGCGAUCACGCGACUGCUCGCCUCCGUCCGUCUGCUUCGUUUACGUCCGCGUCGCCCUCGUCAUCGCCAUGUCUUCACCAAGCGAAGCUGAUCGUCUCCGCGAGGAAGCCGAGAAGAAGACGGCAGAGGAUACUGCCUCUGCCGCCGCUGCUGCUGCUACGGCCAACUGGCCGAUUGGAGGGUAUGACUCGUUUAUCCUCUUGUUCGUGUUUAUUCUAGCAGUACUACUUGUUUGCAUAGAUGUAUCCACUAUAUGCGUAGUAUGUGCUAGGUUAGCUCAAGAUCAGUAUGUCAUUAGUCUAGUCAAUGCCAUGCUAGUUAUUGUUUUGUGGAUUAAUCUACUCGGAAAAUUGCCUAUUUACUCAACAAUCCAAAAACCUAAUGUCUGUAGGAAUUUUUCGAGUAAUGGUUUUGCUGCUGCACUGAAACCGGAUAAGUUUACCGGUACUUUUUUCAAGCGUUGGCAAACGAGAACCACCUUAUGGCUCACGGCUAUGAACGUGUUCUGGGUAGCCGGUGUCACUCCUACGGAAACUAUCACUCCUGAACAGGAGAAGAUGUUUAAGGAGGCCACCGUCCUAUUCCUUGGAGCAGUCAUUAGCGUGAUCGGAGAUAAGCUGGUUGAUGCAUAUUUACAUAUGCAUGUUGCCAAGGACUUGUGGGAGGCGCUCGAAUCUAAAUUCGGGGCCACCGAUGCUGGGAGUGAGAUGUAUGUUAUGGAGCAGUUCCACGAUUACAAGAUGGUUGACAACCGUUCUGUAUUGGAGCAAGCUCAUGAGAUAAUAUGCAUAGCUAAGGAACUUGAGGUUCUUAAGUGCAAUUUGCCGGGCAAGUUUGUCGCGGGCUGUAUAAUUGCUAAGCUCCCUAAUUCCUGGAGGAACUUUGCCACUACUCUGAAACAUCAAAGGCGUGAGUUCUCAGUAGAGGACAUCAUCGGCCAUCUGAGUGUUGAGCAGAACUCGAGAGCAAAGGACUCCAAUGGAAAAGCGGUGGAAAGCUCUUCUGCUGCCAAUAUGGUACAUCAGAGGAACUUCAAUUCUCACAAGCCCAAGGGAAAGAACUCUGUCCAACAGAAUACCGACUUCAAGAAGAAGGGGAAGAAGCCCUUCAAGAAGAAUAAGAAGGGAGAUGGCUGCUAUACUUGUGGUUCAGAGGAACAUUGGGCGAACAAAUGCCCAAACAAGUACAAGAAGCCGGCGCAGGACUCCAAGUUUGCAAACAUGAUUGUGGGCAACAAUGAAAGUGGUGCAUCUGGGUACGGAAAUUUACUUACUGUAUUUACAGUUUGUCAGUCCACCGAUUGGUGGGUGGACACGGGUGCAAAUAUUCAUGUGUGUGCUGACUUGUCAUUGUUCUCUUCUUAUCAGGCCACCGGUCGCGGGUCCGUAUUGAUGGGGAAUGGCGCGAGUGCUUCUGUUCUUGGUGUUGGCACGGUCGAUCUGAAGUUUACUUCGGGAAGGAUCGUGCAGCUGAAGAACGUGCAGCAUGUCCCCGCCAUCAAGAAGAAUCUCGUUAGUGGCUCCCUUCUGUGUAGAGAAGGGUUUAAGUUGGUGUUCGAGUCUAAUAAAGUAGUAGUUACGAAAUAUGGACUUUUUGUUGGAAAAGGUUAUGAAUGCGGAGGUGUGUUCCGCCUUUCUCUAGCAGAUUUUUGUAAUAAAGUCGUGAACAAUAUUCAUUCGAGUGUUAAUGAAUCUGAAGUUUGGCAUUCACGUCUUUGUCACAUAAGUUUCGGUGUUAUGUCGCGGGUAGCAAAACUGAAUUUAAUCCCAACUUUCACUUUAGCCAAAGGUUCUAAGUGCCACUCGUGUGUGCAAGCAAAGCAACCUCGCAAGCCUCACAAGGCUGCAGAGGAGAGACACUUGGCACCAUUAGAACUCAUACAUUCUGAUCUUUGUGAGAUGAAUGGUGUGUUGACUAAAGGUGGAAAGAAAUACUUCAUGACAUUGAUAGAUGAUUCCACUAGAUUUUGCUAUGUGUAUCUGUUAAAUACUAAAGAUGAGGCUCUACACUACUUUAAAAUCUAUAAGGCAGAAGUUGAGAAUCAACUUGAAAAGAAAAUUAAACGAGUCCGGUCUGAUCGUGGUGGAGAGUACUUCUCAAACGAAUUUGAUUCAUUUUAUGCGGAACACGGCAUUAUUCAUGAGAGGACGCCUCCCUAUUCACCCCAGUCGAACGGGGUUGCCGAGCGGAAAAACCGUACUCUAACUGAUUUGGUUAACGCCAUGUUAGAUACAUCGAGUUUAUCCAAGGCAUGGUGGGGGGAGGCUAUAUUGACCGCGUGUCAUGUCCUGAAUAAAGUUCCUACAAAAGAUAAUGAGGUCACUCCCUACGAGGAGUGGUCAAAGAGAAGGACGACACUCUCGUACUUACGUACUUGGGGCUGCUUGGCGAAAGUCAAUGUACCGAUUCCCAAGAAGCGUAAGCUUGGACCAAAGACUGUGGAUUGCGUUAAUUUGGGAUACGCUAAGAAUAGCGUAGGCUAUAGAUUUCUAGUAGUGAAAUCUGAGGUACCUGACGUGAAGGUCGGUACAAUAAUGGAGUCGAGGGAUGCUACAUUCUUUGAGGAUAUAUUUCCCAUGAGAGAUAUGCAAAGCACUUCUAGACAGGAAUCUGAGAUAACUCCUGAGCCUGCCAUUCCUAUGGAAUAUUAUGAACAAAGACAUGAUGAAAAUCCUGAGGAGGAUGACGAGGAAGCCCGUGGUAGGGGCAAGAGGCAAAGGACUGCAAAGACCUUUGGUGAUGAUUUCUUCGUAUACCUCGUGGAUGAUAAUCCCACUUCUAUUUCAGAAGCGUAUGCUUCUCCAGAUGCUGAUUACUGGAAAGCUGCGGUCCGUAGCGAGAUGGAUUCCAUCAUGGCUAACGGGACAUGGGAAAUCACUGAUCGUCCCUAUGGUUGCAAACCAUUGGGAUGCAAGUGGGUGUUCAAAAAGAAGCUUAGGCCCGAUGGUACGAUUGAAAAGUACAAGGCUAGGCUUGUGGCCAAGGGCUAUGCCCAGAAAGAAGAGGAAGAUUUCUUCGAUACUUAUUCACCUGUGGCUAGACUGACCACCAUUAGAGUACUACUCUCAUUGGCGGCCUCUCAUGGUCUUCUCGUUCAUCAAAUGGACGUUAAGACGGCUUUCCUGAAUGGAGAGCUAAAUGAGGAAAUCUAUAUGCAACAGCCAGAUGGUUUUGUGAUAGAAGGUCAGGAAGGAAAGGUGUGUAAGUUGCUGAAAUCUUUAUAUGGUCUGAGACAAGCACCUAAGCAAUGGCAUGAGAAGUUUAAUACAACUCUGACAUCUGUUGGCUUCGUUGUUAAUGAAGCUGACAAAUGUGUAUACUAUCGCCAUGGUGGGGGCGAAGGAGUUAUAUUGUGCUUGUAUGUUGAUGAUAUACUGAUAUUUGGAACCAACCUCAAAGUAAUUGAGGAGGUUAAGUCUUUUCUGUCUCAAAACUUUGAGAUGAAGGACCUUGGGGUGGCUGAUGUUAUCUUGAACAUCAAGCUGUUGAGAGAUGAUGAGGGUGGGAUUACACUUCUGCAAUCCCACUAUGUUGACAAGAUUUUGAGUCGCUUUGGAUAUUCAGACUGCAAAAUUUGUCAAACACCAUAUGAUCCUAGUGUGCUUAUUCGAAAGUUUAAAGGCACAGCUAUAGAUCAAUUGAGAUUCUCUCAAAUUAUCGGUUCACUUAUGUACCUAGCUAGCGCAACGAGGCCUGACAUCGCGUUUGCUGUGAGCAAACUUAGCCGGUUUGUUGCAAACCCGGGCGAUGUUCAUUGGCGUGCUGUUGAAAGAAUUAUGCGCUACUUGAAAGGUACUGUCAACCACGGGCUUCACUAUACGGGAUUCCCAUCGGUACUUGAAGGGUAUAGUGACGCGAAUUGGAUCUCUGAUGCUGAUGAGAUGAAGGCCACUACUGGGUAUAUGUUUACUCUUGGGGGUGGUGCUGUUUCCUGGAAGUCUUGCAAGCAAACGAUCUUAACAAGAUCGACAAUGGAAGCAGAAUUAACAGCAUUAGACACAUCUGGUGUCGAAGCAGAAUUUCUUCGAGAUCUUUUGAUGGACUUACCUGUGGUUGAGAAGCCGGUUCCGGCUAUCCUUAUGAACUGCGAUAAUCAGACGGUUAUUGUUAAAGUGAAGAGUUCAAAGGACAAUAUGAAGUCCAGCAAACAUAUAAGAAUGAGAUUGAAGGCUGUCAGACGUUUGAGAAACUCCGGAGUGAUAGCGUUGGAUUAUAUCCAAACGGCUAAGAAUCUGGCAGAUCCCUUUACUAAAGGGCUAUCACGUGUUGUGAUAGAUAGUGCAUCGAGGGAGAUGGGUAUGAGACCCACAUGAGUUGCCAUGGUAGUAACCCAACCUAUAUGAUCGGAGAUCCCGUGAAGUAGGACCUGGGAAAACAAGCCAGUGGUGAACUGAGGAGAGUAACUUUACUAACCCACUCCGUUGGAGAUGCAAUACUCUCGGAUACUGUAUGGUAGGAUGACUACUGUCUUAAUGUGUUCUAAAGCUUAUAUGUAAGCAAGAUGCUGUCCUACAGAGCGAUCUUUGGAGGAACACACCUAUAUGAGCUUGACUGCUGGUCACAGUCUAUGAGGUUUGGGUGAUCUCUAGUAAACUCAUGAAUAGGCCAGGAGUGUGACUAAUAUGCUCCACCCGAGGGGUCACCUUCGGCAGUCUAGUACUAGUAAGACUUGUGAUGAAGCUCUUUUACGCCAAGCUGACAAUUCAAGGCAUAGUCCAUUGUUCAGUAGUAAAGGAGUGUAGCUACUUGUUCUAGGUGAAGCUCAACCUUAAUAGGACUUCACUGAAAUGUUGGUAUAUUAAAACAGUGAUUGGAACGAGGGAACACGAUGUGCCCUUGAGAUCUGGUGGGGGAUUGUUGAAAUUUGGAGGUGGGCCUUAGGCCCACUAGAGAAUUUCAGAAAAUCUACAAGGGCCCAUGUAGGUGGUGGCAUGGCAAGGUGGUGGGAGUUUAGUCCCACCCCGCUAGUGCAGGAGAGUUUGGACCCCUUUAUAAGGGCCUCUCUUCCACAUGCUAUUGGAGAGUGAGAAGAGAAGGUGCCCUCGCGCACUCCUCCUCCGCCGCCCGCCACGCCACGCCUCGUCACGACGCGGGUUGCGGGUUGCGGGAAUGAGCCGAGCCGAGCUCAUACCUACGCGCUUAUUUUUGCCGGUCAGGAACGGAGAAUACGUAACGGACAAGGCAUGAUCCGAGACGUCGGAUCGUGAUCGUUACCGACUCGGACGUGGGCUUGGCCCACGUCUCUCCACCCGAGCCGCCUUUAUAAGCAUGCGAUCGCCUACCCUAGCCGUCACGAAAUCAGAUCACAUCUGCCUCACGCGUUCGUUCCUUGAACUGCUGCUGCCGCCGGCGACUCCGUCCCGUUUACCGCGUACACGGUCGACGGGAGAGCAGGCCUCCGAAACCUCGCCUCUCCGGUUCAUGUACGGGAGAGGGGCGAUUAGGUUUUUGGGGAGCGAUCACGCGACUGCUCGCCUCCGUCCGUCUGCUUCGUCUACGUCCGCGUCGCCCUCGUCAUCGCCAUGUCUUCACCAAGCGAAGCUGAUCGUCUCCGCGAGGAAGCCGAGAAGAAGACGGCAGAGGAUACUGCCUCUGCCGCCGCUGCUGCUGCUACGGCCAACUGGCCGAUUGGAGGGUAUGACUCGUUUAUCCUCUUGUUCGUGUUUAUUCUAGCAGUACUACUUGUUUGCAUAGAUGUAUCCACUAUAUGCGUAGUAUGUGCUAGGUUAGCUCAAGAUCAGUAUGUCAUUAGUCUAGUCAAUGCCAUGCUAGUUAUUGUUUUAUGGAUUAAUCUACUCGGAAAAUUGCCUAUUUACUCAACACAGGUAUCAGCGUACAUUUGGUUCUCUGUUUAUUUGUGUUCAUGGGUGUUUCUAUGCUGAUUUUGACUUCUUGGUUGUAUUGCUUCACUCACGCUCAUCAGGUGUUUGUUGUUAUGUAUCCUCCGUAUGACAGCUUAUCUUCUCUCAGAAAUAGCAGUUGGUUCGCUGUUUCGUCUCCUCAAUGAUACGUCAAGUAAUCCACUCGUAUCCAUCAAGUCACUCGGACAUCUUCCCUUCAAUCAGCACAACGUCGGCACUCGGGCAGAGAAGACAUAAGGACAAUGUGGGAGCUUUAACGUUUCAGGGGCUUGAUACCGCAAAUAAGAUGUAGUUAGGACCUCCGUUACAUGUAACUACAGCAUUAAUGGCAUCCGUUACUAGUAACUACUUCCUUCGUUACGGUUUAAAAG
This 7306-nucleotide long non-coding RNA is filed under the name Hordeum vulgare. Its description in RNAcentral is "long non-coding RNA (HVUL_LNC008190)". The record is from RNAcentral. Lineage: Eukaryota; Viridiplantae; Streptophyta; Magnoliopsida; Poales; Poaceae.